UGGGGAAUAUUGGACAAUGGGCGCAAGCCUGAUCCAGCAUGCCGCGUGGGUGAAGAAGGCCUUCGGGUUGUAAAGCCCUUUUGUUGGGAAAGAAAAGCAGUCGGUUAAUACCCGAUUGUUCUGACGGUACCCAAAGAAUAAGCACCGGCUAACUUCGUGCCAGCAGCCGCGGUAAUACGAAGGGUGCAAGCGCUACUCGGAAUUACUGGGCGUAAAGCGUGCGUAGGUGGUUUGUUAAGUCUGAUGUGAAAGCCCUGGGCUCAACCUGGGAAUUGCAUUGGAUACUGGCAGGCUAGAGUGCGGUAGAGGGUAGUGGAAUUCCCGGUGUAGCAGUGAAAUGCGUAGAGAUCGGGAGGAACAUCCGUGGCGAAGGCGACUACCUGGACCAGCACUGACACUGAGGCACGAAAGCGUGGGGGAGCAAACAGGAUUAGAUACCCUGGUAGUCCACGCCCUAAACGAUGCGGACUGGAUGUUGGGUUCAAUUAGGAACUCAGUAUCGAAGCUAACGCGUUAAGUUCGCCGCCUGGGGAGUACGGUCGCAAGACUGAAACUUAAAUGAAUU
RNAcentral lists this ribosomal RNA (565 nucleotides) under uncultured bacterium. Its description in RNAcentral is "partial 16S ribosomal RNA". It matches the Rfam family "Bacterial small subunit ribosomal RNA", at positions 355 to 911 of the family's 1533-position model. The record is from RNAcentral.